GAUCAUGGCUCAGGAUGAACGCUGGCGGCGUGCCUAACACAUGCAAGUCGAACGAGGUAUUUUGAUUGAAGUUUUCGGAUGGAUUUCAAGAUACCGAGUGGCGGACGGGUGAGUAACGCGUGGGUAACCUGCCUCAUACAGGGGGGAUAACGGUUAGAAAUGACUGCUAAUACCGCAUAAGCGCACAGUACCGCAUGGUACGGUGUGAAAACUACCGGUGGUAUGAGAUGGACCCGCGUCUGAUUAG
RNAcentral lists this ribosomal RNA (247 nucleotides) under uncultured bacterium. RNAcentral describes it as "partial 16S ribosomal RNA". It matches the Rfam family "Bacterial small subunit ribosomal RNA", at positions 15 to 244 of the family's 1533-position model. The record is from RNAcentral.